Molecule: ribosomal RNA, 433 nt
Filed under: uncultured bacterium
Lineage: Bacteria
Description: partial 16S ribosomal RNA
Rfam family: Bacterial small subunit ribosomal RNA
Source: RNAcentral
AACGAACGCUGGCGGCAUGCCUAACACAUGCAAGUCGAACGAGACCUUCGGGUCUAGUGGCGCACGGGUGCGUAACGCGUGGGAACCUGCCCUUAGGUUCGGAAUAACUCCCCGGAAGGGGUGCUAAUACCGGAUAAUGUCUUCGGACCAAAGAUUUAUCGCCUUUGGAUGGGCCCGCGUUGGAUUAGCUAGUUGGUAGGGUAAAAGCCUACCAAGGCGACGAUCCAUAGCUGGUCUGAGAGGAUGAUCAGCCACACUGGGACUGAGACACGGCCCAGACUCCUACGGGAGGCAGCAGUGGGGAAUAUUGGACAAUGGGCGAAAGCCUGAUCCAGCAAUGCCGCGUGAGUGAUGAAGGCCUUAGGGUUGUAAAGCUCUUUUACCCGGGAUGAUAAUGACAGUACCGGGAGAAUAAGCUCCGGCUAACUCUGUG